This 497-nucleotide ribosomal RNA is filed under the name uncultured bacterium. Its description in RNAcentral is "partial 16S ribosomal RNA". It matches the Rfam family "Bacterial small subunit ribosomal RNA", at positions 28 to 507 of the family's 1533-position model. The record is from RNAcentral.
GAUGAACGCUGGCGGCGUGCCUAAUACAUGCAAGUCGAGCGAACAGACGAGGAGCUUGCUCCUCUGACGUUAGCGGCGGACGGGUGAGUAACACGUGGAUAACCUACCUAUAAGACUGGGAUAACUUCGGGAAACCGGAGCUAAUACCGGAUAAUAUAUUGAACCGCAUGGUUCAAUAGUGAAAGACGUUUUUUCUGUCACUUAUAGAUGUAUCCGCGCCGCAUUAGCUAGUUGUUAAGGUAACGGCUUACCAAGGCAACGAUGCGUAGCCGACCUGAGAGGGUGAUCGGCCAAACUGGAAGUGAGACACGGUACAGAAUCCUACGGGAGGAAGCAGUAGGGAAUCUUACGAAAUGGGCGAAAGAAUGACGGAGAAACGCCGCGUGAGUGAUGAAGGUAUUAGGAUCGUAAAACUCUGUUAUGAGGGAAGAAAAAAUGUGUAAGUAAAUAUGCACGUAUUGACGGUACCUAAUAAGAAAGCAACGGCUAACUACGUG